This 3340-nucleotide long non-coding RNA is filed under the name Pelobates cultripes (western spadefoot toad). The record is from RNAcentral. Lineage: Eukaryota; Metazoa; Chordata; Amphibia; Anura; Pelobatidae.
AUGGGAAAUAAGCAAUUCAAGUAAUACAUCAAAAUAUAUAUUACAAGUAGUUCUUUAAAACACAUUAAAGUGCAUAUAAAGAUAGAUAUAGUUACACUAAAUUACAUGUCAACUUUAUGUCAAUUUGCACAUUUUCAUUCAGUUAACAGGGGAUGCUUACAAGUUAUCACAAUACCAAUGCAUCAUUUGUACAUUGCUACUGUUAGUUAUUAUUUAUAUUGUUAGCAUGAGAAAGGCUUUGCUAUAACACGAGGUGCUGAAAUGUAAGCAAACUUUGAAUUGAAUUUAGAAUGUCUCACAUUCAGAGUAAAAUAUAUUUUAUUCCUAAAUUAAUAUAUAGAUGCCCCUAUGACUAUGACAUUUGGAACAAUUAAAACAUCACACAAUUACUCUCCUGUGUGAGUUCUCUGAUGACUAACAAGGUGUACAUGCAGGCCACAUUCAGAAAAAGGUUUCUCUCCUGUUUGAAUUAUUUGAUGAAUAACAAGCUCUCCUUUACUGAUAACACAUUUUCCACAUUCAGAAUAUGUGUGAGUUCUCUGAUGUGUUUCAAGACUUGCUUUACCGACUUGACAUUUUCCAUUCCCACAUAGCAACCAAGCAACAUGGUGGGAAGUAGCAGAAUUAAAAGGUAAAAGAGGCCCUUUAAGAAGGCGUGAAAAAUAGGUUUGUGAAAUAACAGCUACUUUUGGAUGCCAUAGUCUGAGGAGGUGGGUUUUGAGGGACUUGAUUUUCCAGAAUUUUCUUCAUAUGGCGUUGGCUGCCACACUUAGCUUUGCAUCCUGAGUGAAACUUAUGAAUGCUGUUGUUUGGGUCACAGACAGUAAGAGAGAGUCUGGGAUUAGAUAAAGCAAUAAACUGUGUGUGAAAAGGCAUGCAGAAAUUAAGUGAGAAAAUUAAACCAAUCAAUGGGAGAGAUUAGUUAGGUGAAAUUGAUAAAUGGGGAACAUCAAAUAACCAGACAAUAUGUGCAAUAACUCUCACACUAACAAAAAUUAAACAAACAUUAAAGAAUUCAAGAGUUGUGCAUUGAAGGCACAGAAGUUUUCAAAUUUAACAUUAAUAUCAAAGGGGAGGAAAGUAAAGAGGGGCUCUGUAGAGUUAACAUAUUUGCAAUACCAAUGCAUCAUUUAUACAUUUCUAUCACAGGUAUUUUGUUUUUGUGUCAGCAAUAAAGCAAUUCACAGUAUUAGUUGUUUAAUUCUGAUGCUAAUUCAUAAACACAUUAUAAAAACUCUUCUGUGUGAGUUAUCUGAUGAUUAACAAACUCUGGUUUACUAACAAAACUAUUUCUCCAUUCUGUACAUGAGAAAGGUUUCUCAUCUGUGUGACUUCUCUGGUGUGCAACUAGAGCUGAGUGCUGGCUAAAGCAUUUUCCACAGUCAGAACAUGACAAAGGUUUCUCUCUUGUGUGAGUUCUCUGGUGUGCAACUAGAUGUGAAUGCCUGUUAAAACAUUUCCCACAUUCAGCACAUGAGAAAGGUUUCUCUCCUGUGUGAGUUCUCCAAUGUGUAACCAGAUUUGAAUGCCUGUUAAAACAUUUCCCACAUUCAGCACAUGAGAAAGGUUUCUCUCCAGUGUGAGUUCUCUGGUGUGCAACUAGAGUUGCCUUAAGGGUAAAACAUUUCCCACAUUCAGCACAUGAGAAAGGUUUCUCUCCUGUGUGAGUUCUCUGAUGUUUAACAAGAUCUGAGUGCUGGCUAAAACAUUUCCCACAUGCAGAACAUGUGAAAGGUUUCUCUCCUGUGUGAGAUCUCUGGUGUGUAACAAGGUGUGCAUGGCUGUUAAAACAUUUUCCACAUUCAGAACAUGAGAAAGGUUUCUCUAGUGUGUGUUUUCUCUGGUGUGCAACUAGAGUCGAGUUAUGGCUAAACCAUUGCCCACAUGCAGAACACGAGACAGGUUUUUCUCCUGAGUGAGCACUCUGAUGUGUACUAAGACUUGAGUAAUGGCUAAAACAUUUUCCACAUUCAGAACAUGAGAAAGGUUUCUCUCCUGUGUGAGUUCUCUGGUGUGCAACUAGAGAUGUUCUAUGGCUAAAACAUUUCCCACAUUCAGAACAUGAAAAAGGUUUCUCUCCUGAGUGAGUUCUCUGGUGUGCAACUAGAGAUGUUCUAUGGCUAAAACAUUUCCCACAUUUAGAACAUGAAAAAGGUUUCUCUCCUGAGUGAGUUCUCUGGUGUGCAAAUAGAGAUGUUCUAUGGCCAAAACAUUUCCCACAUUCAGAACAUGAAAAAGGUUUCUCUCCUGAGUGAAUUCUCUGGUGUGCAACUAGAGAUGUUCUAUGGCUAAAACAUUUCCCACAUUCAGAACAUGAAAAAGGUUUCUCUCCUGUGUGAGCACUCUGGUGUGCAACUAGAGAUGCCUUAAGAGUAAAACAUCUCCCACAUGCAGCACAUGUGAAAGGUUUCUCUCCUGUGUGAGAUUUCUGGUGUGUAACAAGGUGUGCAUAGCUCUUAAAACAUUUCCCACAUUCAGCACAAGGGAAAGGUUUCUCUCCUGUGUGAGUUCUCUGGUGUGCAACUAGAGAUGCCUUAAGGGUAAAACAUUUCCCACAUUCAGCACAUGAGAAAGGUUUCUCUCCUGUGUGAGUUCUCUGGUGUGCAACUAGAGAUGCCUUAAGAGUAAAACAUUUCCCACAUUCAGAACACGAGAAAGGUUUCUCUCCUGAGUGAGCACUCUGAUGUGUACUAAGACUUGAGUACUGGCUAAAACAUUUUCCACAUUCAGAACAUGAGAAAGGUUUCUCUCCUGUGUGAGUUCUCUGGUGUGCAACUAGAGAUGCCUUAAGGGUAAAACAUUUCCCACAUUCAGAACACGAGAAAGGUUUCUCUCCUGAGUGAGCACUCUGAUGUGUACUAAGACUUGAGUACUGGCUAAAACAUUUCCCACAUUCAGCACAUGAGAAAGGUUUCUCUCCUGUGUGUAUUCUCUCAUGGGCUCUUAGAUUUGAGGACAGGCUAAAACAUUUUCCACAUUCAAAACAUGAGAAAGGUUUCUCUCCUGUGUGAGUUCUCUGAUGUAUUACAAUUUGUGACUGCCAGCGAAAACAUUUUCCACAUUCAGAACACGAGAAAGGUUUUGGGUUUAUGUUUACUAUCUCCUUUGUAGAUAUAUAGGAUUCUGAGAGAUUGCUUGAGUUUGGAGAGUUGGAAUCCUUGGUCUUUUUAUUAAAAGAUUUCUUCAUAAUCUUUUUUGUUGUUGUCCUGUCCUUUAGAAAAACUGCUGCUGCUGGAAAUAUCUGAAACAAAAUGUAAUGGGAGUUAUAGAAAAUAUUUCAAUAAAUGAUUUAUUGCUUACCAUACUAAGAAAAACUGACUUUAUUUCCACGAAACAUCAG